GAAAUGCGAUAAGUAAUGUGAAUUGCAGAAUUCAGUGAAUCAUCGAAUCUUUGAACGCACCUUGCGCUCCUUGGUAUUCCGAGGAGCAUGCCUGUUUGAGUGUCAUGGAAUUCUCAACUCUAUUUGCUUUUGUGAAUAGAGCUUGGAUGUGGAGGUUUAUUGCUGGUACUUGUGAUCGGCUCCUCUUGAAUGCAUUAGCUCGAACCUUUGCGGAUCAGCUAUCGGUGUGAUAAUUGUCUACGCCGUUGCAGUGAAGCAUAUCAAUGGGCUCGGCUUCCAAUCGUCCUUUACUGGACAAUGACUUUGACCUUUGACCUCAAAUCAGGUAGGAUUACCCGCUGAACUUAAGC
This 350-nucleotide unclassified non-coding RNA is filed under the name plant metagenome. RNAcentral describes it as "partial contains 5.8S ribosomal RNA, internal transcribed spacer 2, and large subunit ribosomal RNA". The stretch from base 1 to 105 matches the Rfam family "5.8S ribosomal RNA", at positions 50 to 154 of the family's 154-position model. The record is from RNAcentral.